RNAcentral lists this long non-coding RNA (1945 nucleotides) under Gossypium barbadense (sea-island cotton). Its description in RNAcentral is "long non-coding RNA (GBAR_LNC014987)". The record is from RNAcentral. Lineage: Eukaryota; Viridiplantae; Streptophyta; Magnoliopsida; Malvales; Malvaceae.
UUUUAAAUUUUGUUAGAUCUAAAUUGGAGAAUUUUCUCUCAAAAAUUUAUGCAUCUCUUAUAUUUUCUUCGCAUCCAAACACUCUUUAUUCUUUCAAUUUUGCAAGAAAAUCACUCUUUCUUCUCUAAUUUCUCAUCUAAACUUAGCUCGUUUUUGCUCAAUUGGUACAAAUUCGUGGAGGUUUUCGAAUUAAAGGUAAAUCUAUUAUUUCGUUAUGUAUUAAAUUUUUAUUAGGUGUUUUUAAUUUGAAUUUUCAUAGAUCUAAGCAAGAAAAUUAAAGGUCCAUGGUUUUAAAGUUAUCUUUUGCAUAAAAAUAGUGAAUCUCAUAAUAAAGAGCUAAGAGAUAUUUUUAAAAUGAUUUUUAGUAUAUUUUGACGAGAUUAAGAGGUUUACAAAUUCAAUUUAACAAAAUCUUUAAGUAAUUGCAUGAAUUAAAUGGUUUUCUUUUAAGAAUAAGGAUGAACAAUGUUUUUCCGGAAAAAUAUUAAUUAAAUAAAUAGAGCAAAGUUAGAGAUCUAGAUCUAUAAUUUGGCACAAGUUAGAGGGUUAGGAGGUAGAAAUAAAAGAUUUAAUUAAGGUAAAAAGAAGAAAUUAAGCGAAAUAAAUUGUACUAAAUAAGCUGAAUAAAUAUGAGUGAGUGAGAGCCGUUGUAUGAACAUAAAGAAAGUAAGCUAAAUUAUUUUUUAAUGCUUAGUAAUAUGUAUAUUCUUGUGCGAAGUUGAAAAUGUUGGUGGAGCCUCAACAAACCAAGAUAAAGGCGAGCGAAAAGUUGUCUAAUUCGACGAGUCGUGGUGAGCUAUAGGUGAGUGCAUUUGUAUGUCGUGUUUUAGCAUGAAUUGCAAAAUCUAGAGAGUCGAAGUGUGGCUUGUGAACCCCCACUUAUGGUAUGUGAACCUUGACUUCUUCCUUGUGUAAAUCCUUGCAAUUUUGGUUGAAUCGUUGAGUAUAUACAUGGUGCGAUUUUAAUAGUGAAAAAUGUAUAAACUUAUAAUUUAUAUACAUGUGCUUUAUUUUAUAUAUAGUAUAUAUAUUAAUGGAUUUUGGUGUUAUAUAUAAUAAUAUACAUAUAUAUCCGUGGGUUGUUAUACAUAAAUUAUAUUAUAUUCGUGGGUCUUACUAUGUACAUAUAUGCUUGGGUCUUAUUAUAUAAUAUAUAUAAUUAUGGGUAUAGUUUUAUAUGAUAUAUAAAUUUAUGGGACUUUUAAUGUAUGAUAAAAUUUGACGUGACAAAUGUCACUAAAUAGGUAUGUAUAUAUAUGUAAUAUAUAUAUUCAUAUAUGGUUAUGUAAUGCUUGCGAACGGAUAAUAUUAUAAUAUGGAUUUUUAUAACAUGUGAAUUUUAUUGAUAAUGUGCAUUUAUGUAUGCAUGAACCCGUAAAUGAAUUAUGAGAUUUAUGAUAUUACGAGUUUUGAUUAGUGCAAAAUUAUAUUAUCUUGAAAUGCUAAGUGCAAGCUCCACUCUAGUGCAAGCCAAUUAUAUCUGUGCAUUAUAUUAUAUUGUGAACCAUGUUAACUUGGUGAAUUAUAUUAUUAUGGCAAACUGUAUUAAUUUACCAAACUGUGUAUUGUGAGAUUUUUGAGUUGUAUUGUAUGUAAACUAAGCUAUUGAGUGCCCUAUGCUAAAUAAAAUAUGCGAACAAUGAUUUAUGUGAGCUAUGUCAUGAAUGAUAUGUGAACUGUGAUUAUGAGUGCAUUAUAUGUUGCAUGGAAGUUAUAUUAUUUGCGAACCAUGCUCUAUUACGAACUAUGUUAUAUUGUGCAAGAUCUGCUUAAUUGUGAGCCUUAUUAUACUGAAUAUUGUGAAUGUGUUAAAAGAGAUAUGUUGGCAUUGUGACUUUAUGAAACCAUUGGAUAUAGUUGGCAUAUCAUAAGAUUGUAAGUACUCACCCUUCUUUUUUAUUGCGAUAGGCAUUGUGGCCUGAAAAUAGCGUUGGACAGAUAAGGG